CAGGAAUGAAACUGUUGAUCAGAGUUGCAGUAUUGAUUCUUCCUGUGGUCAUGGAUACACAUAUGGGAACUUUGAACACUUUUCCAUGCUAGAGAACAUCACAUUUGUCCAUUACAUUGAUGAUAUACUGCUUGGACAUGGAGAACAUGAAACAGGAGCUACUUAAUACCCUUUGAAAAAGAGGAAGUAUUCUAGAGAAUAUAAAAAGACUUCUUGAGUCCUAAGAGGUCGUGAAGACAGCUUUGGAAAUGUUAUAAGCGUCAAGAUUCACUCAAGAUACACCUGCUUCUCUUGCAAAAGGUAAACAGACCUGAUUUUUUUUUCAACUGGAAACAGACCUGAUUUUUUUUUCAGUUGGAUAUUCCAAAAUUAUGGAGAUGUGUAGAAAGUUAAUUUGGAAGAGGGUUGUUAGGAUUCAAUGUGCGUG
Symphalangus syndactylus (siamang) is the source of this 427-nucleotide long non-coding RNA. RefSeq lists it as uncharacterized. Lineage: Eukaryota; Metazoa; Chordata; Mammalia; Primates; Hylobatidae. The record is from RefSeq and is a predicted model, not a curated record.